RNAcentral lists this long non-coding RNA (1476 nucleotides) under Ananas comosus (pineapple). Its description in RNAcentral is "long non-coding RNA (ACOM_LNC044260)". The record is from RNAcentral. Lineage: Eukaryota; Viridiplantae; Streptophyta; Magnoliopsida; Poales; Bromeliaceae.
UCAUGGCUUCCAACAGACUCAAGAAUCUACUGUUAAUUACCCCACACUUUCGGUGUUAAGGAACUCUCGAUUAAGAGACCAAAUAUAAAUGCUGAUAAAAGAGACCAAGCAGGCAAAUAAAAUUUUAUUGAUAUGAUUUGCCGUGUACAAGGCUUAAGCAAGGGCAUACCCCCACUGUACAUGAAUUUUAUAAGAUUAGGAUACUCAGUUUAGCGACUUGAUGGUCGAUUGGGAUAAGAUUGCUCAGUUUAACGACAUGGCGGUCAAAAGGAGUUUGAGUUUGAGUUGGUCAGUUCAGCGACAUGGCAGUCGGUUUGAAUUUGAGAUGCUCAUUUUAAUGACAUGGCGGUCGGUUGAAUUUUGGUGCUCAGUUCAUGACAUGGCGGUCGGUUUGAGUUUGGUGCUCAGUUUAAUGACAUGGCGGUCGGUUUGAGUUUUGGUGCUCAGUUUAAUGACAUCAGAUAUUCAGUUUAAUGACUUAUCAGUCAUUUGUUCAGUUUAACGACUUGACGGUCAAAUCUGAACUUUGUUUGCUCAGUUUAGUGACUUGGCGGUCGAUUGAAAUUGAGUUGGUCAGUUUAGCGACAUGGCGGUUGAUUUUAAAUUGGAUCGCUCAGUUUAGCGACAUGGCGGUCGGGUUCAAUUUUGGUGCUCAGUUUAAUGACAUGGCGGUCGGAUAUUCAGUUUAACGACUUGAUGGUUAAACACUCAGUUUAACGACUUGACGGUCAUAUCAGAUUUGAUUUGCUCAGUUUAGCGACUUGGCGGUCGAUUUUAAAUUGAGUUGCUCAGUUUAGCGACAUGGCGGUCGAUUUGAGUUUUGGUGCUCAGUUUAAUGACAUGGCGGUCGGCUUUGGGUUUAAUCUCAUGAAAUUGGUUCAUGAAAUUAAUUCAUGCUGAAAGCCCAUUUAUAGAGUCUAUUGAAUUAAUUGAUAAAAUUAAUUCAUGAUAGGGAGCCAUUUAGAGAGCCCAUUGAAUUAAUUUGUGAUAAGGAGCCAUUUGGAAGGCCCGUUAGUUCAUGAAAUUAAUUUAUGACAAAAAGGGCCCAUGAAAUUAAUUAAUUCAUGAUAAGGGGGCCUAUUUUUGCAAACCCAUGAAAUUAAUCCGUAGAAUUAAUUUAUGAUAAGGGGUCAUUUGGAAAACCUAGGAAAUUAAUUCAUAGAAUUAAUUCAUAAUAAAGGGCCCAUUUGGAAAGCCCAUGAAUUCGGUUUGGGUUGGAGGUAUUUUGAUGACAUAGGCUUGGUAGAUUUGAUUGGGGUUUAUUUAUGGACUUUGGAUCUUGGAUCUUCGGGUUUUGGGUUUUGGAUCUUAUUUGUGGACUUUGGAUUUUGGGUUUUGGGAUUUUAUUUGUGGACUUUAGGUUCAGGAUUUUAUUUGUGGACUUUGGGUUUUGGAAUUUUGUUUGUGGACUUUGGGUUCUGGGUUAAGAAAUGAAUUUUAUUUGUUCUGGGUCCGCAUCUACAUGUGGGUUGAGAU